UACGUAGGGUGCGAGCGUUAAUCGGAAUUACUGGGCGUAAAGGGUGCGCAGGCGGUUAUAUAAGACAGAUGUGAAAUCCCCGGGCUCAACCUGGGAACUGCGUUUGUGACUGUAUGACUAGAGUACGGUAGAGAGGGGUGGAAUUCUGGUGUAGCAGUGAAAUGCGUAGAUAUCAGGAGGAACAUCGAUGGCGAAGGCAGCCCCUUGGACCUGUACUGACGCUCAUGCACGAAAGCGUGGGGAGCAAACAGG
This 252-nucleotide ribosomal RNA is filed under the name uncultured bacterium. Its description in RNAcentral is "partial 16S ribosomal RNA". It matches the Rfam family "Bacterial small subunit ribosomal RNA", at positions 524 to 776 of the family's 1533-position model. The record is from RNAcentral.